RNAcentral lists this transfer RNA (85 nucleotides) under Candidatus Magasanikbacteria bacterium CG_4_9_14_3_um_filter_32_9. Its description in RNAcentral is "tRNA-Tyr". It matches the Rfam family "tRNA". From Rfam's summary of the family: Transfer RNA (tRNA) molecules are approximately 80 nucleotides in length. Their secondary structure includes four short double-helical elements and three loops (D, anti-codon, and T loops). The record is from RNAcentral. Lineage: Bacteria; Candidatus Magasanikiibacteriota.
GGGUCGGUUCCGGAGCGGUCAAACGGAGCAGACUGUAAAUCUGUUGGCUCUGCCUUCGGGGGUUCGAAUCCCUCCCGGCCCACAA